UGGCGAACGGGUGAGUAACGCGUGAGGAACCUGCCUCAAAGAGGGGGACAACAGUUGGAAACGACUGCUAAUACCGCAUAAGCCCACGGGUCGGCAUCGACCAGAGGGAAAAGGAGCAAUCCGCUUUGAGAUGGCCUCGCGUCCGAUUAGCUAGUUGGUAGGGUAAAGGCCUACCAAGGCGACGAUGCGUAGCCGACCUGAGAGGUUGAACGGCCACAUUGGGACUGAGACACGGCCCAGACUCCUACGGGAGGCAGCAUG
RNAcentral lists this ribosomal RNA (261 nucleotides) under uncultured bacterium. Its description in RNAcentral is "partial 16S ribosomal RNA". It matches the Rfam family "Bacterial small subunit ribosomal RNA", at positions 96 to 353 of the family's 1533-position model. The record is from RNAcentral.